GUCCUCAUGGCGUAUGGCAGCGCACUCCCUUCUGGUAAUGUAAUGUUGGCAUAACAAUCUGGGAGCGAUGGUGGUUCGAAUCCACCUGGGGACA
Mycena haematopus is the source of this 94-nucleotide non-coding RNA. The record is from the annotation of a GenBank genome assembly. Lineage: Eukaryota; Fungi; Basidiomycota; Agaricomycetes; Agaricales; Mycenaceae.